This is a long non-coding RNA of Syzygium oleosum, 2246 nucleotides long. RefSeq lists it as uncharacterized. Lineage: Eukaryota; Viridiplantae; Streptophyta; Magnoliopsida; Myrtales; Myrtaceae. The record is from RefSeq and is a predicted model, not a curated record. The transcript is spliced from 3 exons.
AAUAGUAAAAGUAAGAUUUUGUGAGUUAUAUUUGUGUCACGCUUCUGCAUGCAUGCCCUGCAAGUGGUAUCAAAGCAAGGUCGAAUACCCUACAGAUCCUUGCGCGAUUGAACUGCAGCUCAUGUAUGAUUUGCUUCUAUUUCUCUGUGCUUCUAGCGGAAGUUGAGGCUUACAGCAAUUGUCCACACCCUUAAACCUGCAGGUGUGUCGAUAAGGACAUCGCCACGAGGCAAGAGAAGCCAUACUUGAUCGGUUCUUGACGUGCGAAGAUGUUGCUUAGGAGCAGCUAAGUCGCACGCUGCAUUGCUUCCAUCUUAUUGCCAUUUGUAUAUUUAAAGAAAGGACGGAGAAGAGAAAUACGAAACUGACUAUGGGUCUCCUGUUCUGGAGUUGAAUUGACCUGCUAUCGUGUUGCUGUGGUGGAACAGGUUUCAUGGUAUGGUGGCUACUGUGCAUAGCACAGCGGCAUUAUGAUCUCGUGGUGUCUCAGUAUAACCCUUCAUUUUGCAAUUUCACAUUACACGACGAGUUGAAUUGUAUUGUUGGCGGGUCUCAGCAAAGUCAUGCAUUGCCUUUUUUUUGUCCUACAAAGUUUCUAAACUGUUGUUUUCUGUGCAGCAUAGAAUUCUCUUUCUAAGUUGCCUUGGUUCUUUUUCUUUGGUGUGCCAUAUUGAUACAGAAUAAUCUAGUUAUUUAUUUAUUUAUUUAUUUCUGUUUUCAUGCCAAGCAGAGGCCAGUGAUGAUCUUAUGGUUUUGCCUACAUCGCCUGACUAUAUAUAUGAUAAUGCUAUGGACCUUUCUGAGGCCUCUUGGCUAAGAUACAUUUUGGUUUGAUUUGGUUUAAAUCCAUUUGGUUUUUUCUCUAUAAAGUUGUUAAAACCCUUUUCUUUUGUAGCACAGAGUUCUCUUUCUACGUUGGCUUGGUUCGUUUUCUUUGGUGUCCCAUAUCGAUAUGGAUAAUCCAGUUUUGUAUGAUUUCUCGGAGGCCUGUGAUGAUCUCAUUAUAGUCUUGCCUACAUUGCCUGACUAUAAGCAUGAUUAUGUUAUUGACUUUUCUGAGGCUCUCUAUCUUUUGGUUUGAUUGCUUAACGAAUUAUGAGCAACAGCUUGGUUUAAUUGCGGCCAUUGCCUUUACUAUUCAAAUUUUCUUGGAACUGUGCUUAUCUUUACUUCCUGUUUAUUUAGGUUAUAUUUUUACUAGACAACGUCUUUGUAGCUUGUAUUUUCUACCCCUUUUGUGACCAUAGUGCAACAAUGUCCUCCUCAAGUCCUCAAGUCCUUAAGUGAACCCCACUUUUCUCAUUUCUCAUUUCUGUUUUUUUAACUUGAUUAUUGUGCUCGCCCUUUCGUAGAGCUUGAUUCAAAAUAGCUCAAGUGUAAUUUAUGAAGUAAAGUUACUCUAGAGAUGGCCAGGCUAACUUUACAAAUAUAAAUUUCAUUAAGUUGAUUUCAAAGUUCUUUCUUGGACUGUCACUCUGCUGUAGAAUCUUAUAUGGCUCCUUAGCUGCUUUGAGCUUUCUCUGAUUGUGGUUAUUUGUUAUCAAAAUGGCUCUCGUCUCCAGUCUAUGUUUUUUACUCUUUUGGAGCUUGCGGAUUGCUUUGUGAUGGGGACAUGCUUCAUGCUUGGGCACUGCCUGUGAUGCAUUUGGAUACAUUAUGUGAGUCGUGGGAGUUCUGAAAUUGUGAGUGCAGAAUGCCGAAAGAGAUACAAGAAUGGUGCAACUGGGCGAGGCCUACAGAGAUUGAUAUCUUUGGGGGUUGGGAGAAGCUUGGGAAUCAAAUGCAUUUUUGGCUUCAACUGAGCAGUAUGCUUUUCCAAUGGAUGCCUUUGGGGCAUGUGAGGUCUGGCCAGUGGCGCUGACUCUGCAUUCUUGAUUUCAGACAUCUAUAAGUUUGGGGGUCAGCAUGCUUCUCCGAAUCUGGUGUCACUCUUGACCAUCUUUGUGUUUUUCUCUUUGCAAACAAGAAGUGGAUGUGGAACUGUAAAUGCAUACACCAUGUGGUCCACCUACUUUGUUAACCUCCUCACAUAUCCUCUUGGGCAAGUCUCUUGCUGUUGCAGAAAUGGGUAGAAACUUCAGCACUAUCUUUGUUUUCGUCUCUCUGUCUCUCUCUAGGCACAAAUCAUACCAGAUUAAUACGUGUAGCCUUGACAAAGAACACUCAAAAGUCACUUUCAUUUUGUUCCAUGUCAAGAACUAAGUGAUGGGAAUAAGCAAUAAGAUGGUCAAACCUUUUGAUCUUCA